GAUGAAGAACGUAGCGAAAUGCGAUAAGUAGUGUGAAUUGCAGAAUUCAGUGAAUCAUCGAAUCUUUGAACGCACAUUGCGCCCCUUGGCAUUCCAUGGGGCAUGCCUGUUCGAGCAUCAUUUGUACCUUCAAGCUCUGCUUGGUGUUGGGUGUUUGUCUCGCCUCUGCGUGUAGACUCGCCUCAAAACAAUUGGCAGCCGGCGUAUUGAUUUCGGAGCGCAGUACAUCUCGCGCUUUGCACUCAUAACGACGACGUCCAAAAGUACAUUUUUACACUCUUGACCUCGGAUCAGGUAGGGAUACCCGCUGAACUUAAGCAUAUCAAUAAGCGGAGGA
RNAcentral lists this unclassified non-coding RNA (337 nucleotides) under soil metagenome. RNAcentral describes it as "partial contains 5.8S ribosomal RNA, internal transcribed spacer 2, and large subunit ribosomal RNA". The stretch from base 1 to 120 matches the Rfam family "5.8S ribosomal RNA", at positions 35 to 154 of the family's 154-position model. The record is from RNAcentral.